Molecule: long non-coding RNA, 2038 nt
Filed under: Mus musculus (house mouse)
Lineage: Eukaryota; Metazoa; Chordata; Mammalia; Rodentia; Muridae
Description: long non-coding RNA chr5:103439215-103441253
Source: RNAcentral
ACCAUGUCUAGCUGGGUUGGGGGCUGGAAACAGUGAACUUAGUGAGGCACACCUAUAGCUUUGGCCACCCCACCCUGGGCACCCCAUGCGUCUCUGCUCUGUUUGGCAGCUGCUACUGACAAGCUUCCUUUCCUUUUGAGUCAGCUCUUUCAGGAAGCGCGGGUUCUUUGCUCUUCGUUGGAUGGAGAGGUGGGGUUUGCACGUAGAGUUCCGCCCCCUUCAGUCUUUUUCUACCUUUCAUUUUUGUUCUUAGGAAUCAUGUACACAGGCAGCAAGUUCACACGAUCACACGACUCUCUCCUAAAACAACCUGGUUGCUGUCCGCAGGGAGACAGGGGCCGUGUAGACUUAAGUAAGUGCAGUGGAUGUUUACUCUGCAGCACUGACCUGUAGGCAUCUCUAGAGUAAGAAACCUGUGCACUGUACGCCCGAGUGACAGAAUCUGUCUGUCACCUUCCUCCUUUACACCUAGGUCCCUCCCCAAGGUGACAUUGUGCAUCCAUCCCUCCUUCCAUUGGUUGUCCAUCACCUGACAGUAAAUAUGUGGCUGCUGGAAAGAAUUUCUGCAUGGAAGCAAGCCUUCCAUCCUUUUUGUUUUUCAUGGAAUAGCAUAUACUUCUUUCUUUCCCCCUCACAUUACCUAAUUUGUCAAUUUCUGACACUUUUGAACUAUUACCACUACUCUCCCUACCCCCUACCCCCACACCUACUGCAGCAUUUAGGUUGGAAAAUUUCCUUAUAAUGGUGUUGCUAAAUACUGUAUAAAACUGAAGCUGGAUAAUUUUAUCUGAAUUUUCUUAUAGAGGAUUAGGGAGCAAACCCCAGCAAUUCUCAUUUAUUUAUUUAUUUAUUUACUUACUUACUUACAUACAUACGUAUUCUCACUGUAGUCUCACCUGACUGGCCUGGAACUUGCUAUAUAGACCAGACCCAGGUUUUACAGAGAUCUGCCUGCCUCUGCUGGUGUGCUGGGACUAAAGGCAUACAUUUCAUACCCUGGCUUUAUAUUUUUGAAUUUAAAAACUAAAAUUGUAUUAUUAUUGGUGUGUGUAUGGUACGUGUGUGCAUGCAUGUAUGUGCGUGUGUGCUUGCCACCAUGCGCAUGUUGAAAUCGGACGGCAACUUCGGGCAGUUGACUCUCUCCUUCCACAGGGGAUUCUGGGGACCAUACUCACAGGGCCUGCACAGUAGCACCUUUACACACAGAGUCAUCUCACCAGCACUGCAAUUUCUAAAACCAUGUUUGUUUUCCUGUUUUUGUUAGUUUAAGCGCGAGGACCAAUACUAGAGACUUAGUAUGCACAUCUCUUACUGUGUACCUCAGGUUCAGAGUCUUUCCCCUGCCUAAAUAGCAGUGCACUGAGAAGGACACAUCUCAACGUAAUUCUCUGAUAACAUGAUGGCAGUUCCCCAUUGCGAACCUCCCAAACAGCCCCGAUGUUUCCAACUGUAAGCCGCAUCUAACUUGCCUUUUCUGUUUAAACACUUGAGAAUACUUCCUGUAGUCAGAAAGCAUUUCUGUCACUUAUAACUGUGUUCCAGAUGUGGCUUCCCAAGGUUGCUCGGCCUGUGGCUCAGCAGGUAGAACCCGCUAGCCAUAUCCAAGGCCCUGGGUUCCAUCCCCAGCUCUGGGUUAAAAAACAAAACCCAUUUUAAAGCCAAAUGUGGCUUCCUCUUUCCAUGUAGAACUGCAGUACAUGCAGCACGUCUUUCUGGGGCUUCCCCCUCUCAGGGAUUGGCUACUUUGAUUAUGUCUGUAUGCAUUUCUCUAAGUUAGCAACAUAUACUUUAAUGUGUUGGGACAUUACCAUUCAGUUUUUUUUUUUCUCAUAAAUAUCCAGAGGAGAGGAAAAAAAAAAAAAAAAAAAAAAAGGCCUGGCACCUGAGCAGUAUGAUGGUAACAAGAGAUUUGACAGUGAACGUGGGCGCCCUGGCCUAUUGCUGCUUAUCUUGAGGUCUACCAUAACUCUUAACUCUUCUCCAGGAUUUUUUGAAUGAAAUCUCUUUUAACUUGUGGAAUCUUCUAACUAUUGGCUUU